Molecule: non-coding RNA, 147 nt
Organism: Homo sapiens (human)
Lineage: Eukaryota; Metazoa; Chordata; Mammalia; Primates; Hominidae
Rfam family: Metazoan signal recognition particle RNA
About the family: The signal recognition particle (SRP) is a universally conserved ribonucleoprotein.
Source: Rfam
GCUGGAUGUGGUGGUGCGCACCUGUAGUCCCAGCUACUUGGGAGGCUGAUGUGGGAGGAUCGCUUGAGCCCAGGAGUUUGAGGGUGCAGUGAGUGUGAUGACACCACUGCACUCCAGCCUGAGCAACAGAGGGAGACCCUGUCUCUA